GAAUUUUAUAACGCAGAAAAUCUGAAAAAUGAGCAUAUAGUGAAGACCUAACAAAUCAAAUAAGCUACUAACAAAAACUACAAUAAAACUAACAAAUAAAAAACCCAAUCACCAGGACUGCAAGACUAACCUAUUAUCUAAUCACCUAGCAACUAUUUCCUACCAUUCCAUUAAUAUGCUAAAAAUUAAACAAAUAGUGGACAGCACACCGUAUUAAAUGGAGGUGGUUAAUUCAGUAAGGUAACUGCUCUAGUCGCCCUCUAGCAAAAGAAGCAGUUGC
Molecule: long non-coding RNA, 280 nt
Filed under: Nicotiana benthamiana
Lineage: Eukaryota; Viridiplantae; Streptophyta; Magnoliopsida; Solanales; Solanaceae
Description: long non-coding RNA (NBEN_LNC001879)
Source: RNAcentral